CCUACGGGAGGCAGCAGUGAGGAAUAUUGGUCAAUGGGCGUAAGCCUGAACCAGCCAAGUCGCGUGAGGGAUGAAGGUUCUAUGGAUCGUAAACCUCUUUUAUAAGGGAAUAAAAUGCGGUACUUGUCCCUUUUUCUAUGUACCUUAUGAAUAAGGAUCGGCUAACUCCGUGCCAGCAGCCGCGGUAAUACGGAGGGUCCGAGCGUUAUCCGGAUUUAUUGGGGUUAAAGGGUGCGUAGGCGGCCUUGUAAGUCAGCGGUAAAAGCCCGGGGCUCAACCCCGGCGAGCCGUUGAAACUGGCUGUCUUGAGAUGUCGAGAGGUAUGCGGAAUGCGUAGUGUAGCGGUGAAAUGCUUAGAUAUGGCGCAGAACUCCGAUUGCGAAGGCAGCAUACCGGCGGCGAUCUGACGCUGAGGCACGAAAGCGUGGGUAUCGAACAGGAUUAGAUACCCCUGUAGUC
RNAcentral lists this ribosomal RNA (459 nucleotides) under uncultured bacterium. Its description in RNAcentral is "partial 16S ribosomal RNA". It matches the Rfam family "Bacterial small subunit ribosomal RNA", at positions 338 to 795 of the family's 1533-position model. The record is from RNAcentral.